UACGUAGGGUGCAAGCGUUAAUCGGAAUUACUGGGCGUAAAGCGUGCGCAGGCGGUGAUGUAAGACAGAUGUGAAAUCCCCGGGCUCAACCUGGGAACUGCAUUUGUGACUGCAUCGCUGGAGUGCGGCAGAGGGGGAUGGAAUUCCGCGUGUAGCAGUGAAAUGCGUAGAUAUCAGGAGGAAUACCGAUGGCGAAGGCAGGUCUCUGGGCUGACACUGACGCUCAUGCACGAAAGCGUGGGGAGCAAACAGG
RNAcentral lists this ribosomal RNA (253 nucleotides) under uncultured bacterium. RNAcentral's name for it is "partial 16S ribosomal RNA". It matches the Rfam family "Bacterial small subunit ribosomal RNA", at positions 524 to 776 of the family's 1533-position model. The record is from RNAcentral.